AAACGUCUUCAGGGCGGGGUGCGAUUCCCCACCGGCGGUAGGUGCGUUCGCGCACGAGCCCGCGAGCGCUUCCCACGGCCGCCUGUGCGGCGAUGGCAAGGUCAGCAGAUCCGGUGCGAUGCCGGAGCCGACGGUAUAGUCCGGAUGAAAGAAGACAGCU
RNAcentral lists this non-coding RNA (160 nucleotides) under Xanthomonas albilineans. RNAcentral's name for it is "FMN sequence". It matches the Rfam family "FMN riboswitch aptamer (RFN element)". Rfam says of the family: The RFN element is a highly conserved domain that is found frequently in the 5'-untranslated regions of prokaryotic mRNAs that encode for flavin mononucleotide (FMN) biosynthesis and transport proteins. This element is a metabolite-dependent riboswitch that directly binds FMN in the absence of proteins. RNAcentral also lists the same sequence under 1 other name. The record is from RNAcentral. Lineage: Bacteria; Pseudomonadati; Pseudomonadota; Gammaproteobacteria; Lysobacterales; Lysobacteraceae.